This 466-nucleotide ribosomal RNA is filed under the name uncultured bacterium. RNAcentral's name for it is "partial 16S ribosomal RNA". It matches the Rfam family "Bacterial small subunit ribosomal RNA", at positions 28 to 507 of the family's 1533-position model. The record is from RNAcentral.
GAUGAACGCUGGCGGCGUGCUUAACACAUGCAAGUCGAACGAUGAAGCCCAGCUUGCUGGGUGGAUUAGUGGCGAACGGGUGAGUAACACGUGAGUAACCUGCCCUUAACUCUGGGAUAAGCCUGGGAAACUGGGUCUAAUACCGGAUAGGAGCGUCCACCGCAUGGUGGGUGUUGGAAAGAUUUAUCGGUUUUGGAUGGACUCGCGGCCUAUCAGCUUGUUGGUGAGGUAAUGGCUCACCAAGGCGACGACGGGUAGCCGGCCUGAGAGGGUGACCGGCCACACUGGGACUGAGACACGGCCCAGACUCCUACAGGAGGCAGCAGUGGGGAAUAUUGCACAAUGGGCGCAAGCCUGAUGCAGCGACGCCGCGUGAGGGAUGACGGCCUUCGGGUUGUAAACCUCUUUCAGUAGGGAAGAAGCGAAAGUGACGGUACCUGCAGAAGAAGCACCGGCUAACUACGUG